Molecule: long non-coding RNA, 669 nt
Filed under: Fukomys damarensis (Damara mole-rat)
Lineage: Eukaryota; Metazoa; Chordata; Mammalia; Rodentia; Bathyergidae
Description: lncRNA (ENSFDAG00000030818.1)
Source: RNAcentral
GGGGAUGUAGUACAAUACAAAGACCCAGGGUUUAAUCCUGAGUACCGAAAAAAUACUUGUUAAAGUAAAAAAGAUACUUCUUAAAGAUACUAAGCAUAUAAGAGAUAUCAGGCCAGGAAUUUAGCUCAGCAGGACCGUGCCUGCCUAGCAAGCACAAGGUCCGGAAUUUGAACCCUGGUACCAAAAAAAUAGAGAUACCAUCUUUACUGCUUGAGUGACUGAUCGCUUGACAUCUUCCUGGUUUUGCCUCUCCUGCACUCAAGGCGCCUCGUGAUUUGCGCAGCAUUCUUGCUGAAGGAGGCCGGGUCACUGGCCUGACCGACUCCAUUUUGUUUCUCUGACUGACCCCGCGCUGCCUUUCUAUUUGUGUUUUGCUGUCCUCCAAGUUCUCUUGAGCCAUUGUCCCCUGGAUUUACCUUGGAUCCCAGUAACAAGACUAAUGGGUCAGCAUCUUAGGGCCAAAGGGCCAAGACUACUACGCCCUGAGCAAGUACGACCUGCCCAGUACUGCGACGCCAGCCCGAGAUGCCAAGAGCAGAGCAUGCGGAGUUACUUUGGAAAGGCCUUCUUCUCAGGAAGGGUUUGAAACCUGACCCUGUCUCCUGACCUGUACUAACGUCCAGUUUGUCACUGCUUCUCACUUGGAGCCCUGAAAAGCUUCGUGUACCC